UACGAAGGGGGCUAGCGUUGUUCGGAAUCACUGGGCGUAAAGGGCGCGUAGGCGGCCUUGUAAGUCGGGGGUGAAAGCCUGUGGCUCAACCACAGAAUUGCCUUCGAUACUGCAGGGCUUGAGACCGGAAGGGGUGAGUGGAACUGCGAGUGUAGAGGUGAAAUUCGUAGAUAUUCGCAAGAACACCAGUGGCGAAGGCGGCUCACUGGUCCGGGUCUGACGCUGAGGCGCGAAAGCGUGGGGAGCAAACAGG
Molecule: ribosomal RNA, 253 nt
Filed under: uncultured bacterium
Lineage: Bacteria
Description: partial 16S ribosomal RNA
Rfam family: Bacterial small subunit ribosomal RNA
Source: RNAcentral